Molecule: ribosomal RNA, 1024 nt
Filed under: Megascolecidae sp. 2011-03
Lineage: Eukaryota; Metazoa; Annelida; Clitellata; Crassiclitellata; Megascolecidae
Description: partial 12S ribosomal RNA
Source: RNAcentral
CACGCAUACCAAACCUUCUCUCGAUCUACAGCAUGUGUACUGCCGUUGUAAGCAUACCUUUAAAAGAAUAGUAUGCUACUAUGAGUAUAACUCAUAUACAUCAGGUCAAAGUGCAGCCAAUAAGAAGGUGAUGAUGGGUUACAACCCCAAAACAGACUAUCAACUAAGAAAUUAAAAAUCUUACGAAAGUGGACUUGGCCGUAAUUAAUUCUAACUUAAAGAAAUGAAUAAUAUCUAAGACAUGUACACAUCGCCCGUCACUCUACCCUAAAGGUUAGAUAAGUCGUAACAAAGUAGGUGUAAUGGAAAUUGUACCUGUCGGAGUAUAGCAUAUAUAAUGCUUUUUACUUACACUAAAAAUAAAGUGACAACUUACUUCGCCCACAAGAAAAAUCUUAAAUAUAUUUAAUAAUUUGAAUAAUAAAACUAAAACCACAAAGUACAGAAAUGGAAACAACAAUAAAUAAUAGUAAAUUUUAAAAAAUAUACCUUGUGCAUUAUGGUUUUACAAGAAAAAAAUUAAAAUAUAAAUCCCGAAUUCUAAGUGAGAUGUUAAACUGCUGUCAUGAACCCAUUAAUAGCUGUUAAAAAAGCUUUAAAAGACAGAUUAACAGAGGCUACAUACCAUUCGCACAAGAAUAUAGCUGGUUUUCAAUAAACAUUAUAUAUUAAAACAUAUAGUAAUACUAUAGUGUAAUAUUAUUGAGGAUAAGCCCAAUAAUUAAUGCUAUACAUAUAAAUUCCAGUAACUUCCAUAGGCCUAAAACCAGCCAACCAAAUUACUUUACCGUAAAAUAAGCAGAUAAAAUAUAUACAUAUAUUAUGCUAACAAUAAUUGAAAUAAUGGGAAAAUUAACUAACCCACACAUACAAUGUAAAAAUUAGUAUUAUUAUACAAACUCGCACCAAUCUAGAAAAAGCACCACAUAUAUAACAAUAAUUAAUUAAGGAACUCGGCAAAUUAUUAUUUCGACUGUUUAACAAAAACAUUGUCUUAUGAACUCAAUAUAAGAUAGUACCUGCC